Molecule: long non-coding RNA, 566 nt
Organism: Schistocerca gregaria
Lineage: Eukaryota; Metazoa; Arthropoda; Insecta; Orthoptera; Acrididae
Exons: 4
Source: RefSeq, a predicted model, not a curated record
CCCCACCCCCAGAUCAAAUUGGCCUGGUGGAUUAACGACGACGGCCGGUGUGCUGGCCAGCCUGGAUGUGGUUUUUAGGCAGUUUUCCACAUCCUACUAGCAUUGGGUGGUGGGAUCUUCUCGCUAUUACAUAAGUUGUGGCAGUGGCUACUUGCACCAUGCAGUCCGUCUGUGGCGGUUGUUGUUUCCUGCACUGUGUGCAGUGUUGCUAGCUCUUGCCCAGUGUGACCAAGUGUGUAAUUGUUUCCUCCCUUAUGUGAUGCAUUGUUGAUUCAGCUGUUUAUUACAGCUGUGUAUGAAUGAAGGAAAAGUAGAAGACUAAUGCAGUCAUAUGGUCCAACACAUAAGGAUUUCUUGACAAGGCCAUAAGCAAAAACAAACAGAUUCUGGCCAAAGAUGCUGGAGUUGGCAGUCGUGUGCUUGCUUGUGUGUAUCUCUUUUACUGAUGAAGGCUGUGGCCGAAGGCUUUAUGAAAAUUACCAUGAUAUAAUUUGACAGAUGAGGCGAUUAAGGGGACAAAUUCAAGAGGAGAAGACCAGCAGAAAGAGACGAGAAGACAACUAUUG